ACCAUCUUUUUCUUGGGGUUGCACUACUGUCCAAUGAGCACAUAGUGAGGGCAGUACUGCUAACGCCUACAUAACAUGCCUGCAUCAUCUAGAGCUUUGCGUUACCUUGGUACAAUUUUUGGAAGA
This 126-nucleotide non-coding RNA is filed under the name Pan paniscus (pygmy chimpanzee). RNAcentral describes it as "U4atac minor spliceosomal RNA (ENSPPAG00000019518.1)". It matches the Rfam family "U4atac minor spliceosomal RNA". Rfam says of the family: U4atac is an essential component of the minor U12-type spliceosome complex which is required for removal of the rarer class of eukaryotic introns (AT-AC, U12-type). These interacting stem loops have been shown to be required for in vivo splicing. Lineage: Eukaryota; Metazoa; Chordata; Mammalia; Primates; Hominidae. The record is from Rfam by way of RNAcentral.